Molecule: ribosomal RNA, 819 nt
Filed under: uncultured Actinomycetes bacterium
Lineage: Bacteria; Bacillati; Actinomycetota; Actinomycetes
Description: bacterial SSU rRNA
Rfam family: Bacterial small subunit ribosomal RNA
Source: RNAcentral
ACUCCUACGGGAGGCAGCAGUGGGGAAUAUUGCGCAAUGGGCGAAAGCCUGACGCAGCGACGCCGCGUGAGGGAUGAAGGCCUUCGGGUCGUAAACCUCUUUCAGCAGGGAAGAAGCGAAAGUGACGGUACCUGCAGAAGAAGCACCGGCUAACUACGUGCCAGCAGCCGCGGUAAUACGUAGGGUGCAAGCGUUGUCCGGAAUUAUUGGGCGUAAAGAGCUCGUAGGCGGUCUGUCGCGUCUGGUGUGAAAACUCAGGGCUUAACUCUGAGCUUGCAUCGGGUACGGGCAGACUAGAGUGCGGUAGGGGAGACUGGAAUUCCUGGUGUAGCGGUGAAAUGCGCAGAUAUCAGGAGGAACACCGGUGGCGAAGGCGGGUCUCUGGGCCGUAACUGACGCUGAGGAGCGAAAGCAUGGGGAGCGAACAGGAUUAGAUACCCUGGUAGUCCAUGCCGUAAACGUUGGGCGCUAGGUGUGGGGCUCUUUCCACGAGUUCCGUGCCGCAGCAAACGCAUUAAGCGCCCCGCCUGGGGAGUACGGCCGCAAGGCUAAAACUCAAAGGAAUUGACGGGGGCCCGCACAAGCGGCGGAGCAUGCGGAUUAAUUCGAUGCAACGCGAAGAACCUUACCAAGGCUUGACAUGGGGUGAAAACUCGCAGAGAUGCGGGGUCCGCAAGGGCGCCUCACAGGUGGUGCAUGGUUGUCGUCAGCUCGUGUCGUGAGAUGUUGGGUUAAGUCCCGCAACGAGCGCAACCCUCGCUCUAUGUUGCCAGCACGUUAUGGUGGGGACUCAUAGGAGACUGCCGGGGUCAACUCGGA